UAGGAGGAGCGGAGUCUCCGCUCUGCAAGGUCUCUGCGAGGAGGUGAGGCUUAGUCUUUCUCCGAAGUGCGGCAGGCUGGUGACUCCAGCGUGGAAUGGGGGCUCUACGCUGCCCUCUGCUGGCAAAGAAGACUGAAACCCAACGAUCAGGGAAGGGAAGGUGAAAGGGGACUAUAAGUUCCACGCAGGUGCAGCAUGGACCAGAGAGCCAGACUCAGAGAGGAGCCAAAGGACAAGCAGAAGAGAAAUAUCCAAGGAGGCAGUGAAAAACAAGCCCACUCCCCUUACUGACUCCCAAGAGUGUGUUUUUAUACAUGGGUUGGCUGAGCAGGGAGGGCUGAAAGAGCAGAGAAGGUGAUGUACUCAAAACAGUGAAUGGGAAAACCAAACCCACCUCAGGCUCAGUUUUCAAAUACAGCGACACUGUGUCCUGUUUCUGCUGGAUUCCUUCUCUGGGCAGAAGCUUCACCAUGGGAUGAGGUUGCACUGGGUAAAGAGGAAGCUGUAGUUAAUGGAAAAAUCAGUGACUCUAAUCUGGGAACCCUAACCACACCUUAAGGCCUCCCUGUCCUCACUCCUUCCGAAGGCAACUUAUGGCUUUUUCUGCUUCUGUGAGCCCAGGAAGAGUUCAAGCCAUAAACCACAGGAUCUUGAACCUAUAUAGGGUCUCCUCAUUAUGAAAAGAAUGAUUCUCUUAAGAACUUUUAAAAUUCCCAUUACUACUAAAGGGAAGGCUGGAGGAGGAUAAUGUCUGAAAAUGCCCACAACAAGCACAAAAUUUCCAAAAUUCCACAUAAACUGCAGUCAAUUCAACAAUUCAUCCACAUUUCUUUAUCCAAAAAUGAUAUACACCCUCCCAACGUUUGGGUAAAACUGACACUGUUUAUUCUAUGGGUUUACACACACCCAGCAAUCCAAACUCCAGCUUGAGAAAAAAUACUCCCUCUCCCCAACAGGUUGACACUAGAAUCAACUUUUUUCAAUACCCACUAUCCUAACUUGAAUUCAUUACUAACAUAAAAACCUAUUUCAGCCCCUAGUACCAUUCCCUUCUCUUCUAGUGAAACAGCAUGUGCUUCUUACGUCUGUUCUGAAAGUUUGAGCUCACAUCCUUCAUAAUAACCAAAGUCUCCUUGACUUUCUGAUUGGGCUGGACCAGGCUUGGCUUGGGCAAGAAGGUGAGGAAGUGCUCCAGAACCAGCUGGUGGAUGGUCUUGGGCCCACUAGUAGCAUCUCGAAGUAGGUCUUGGCCCAGCUUGGAGUCCGGAGGAACUCUCAGUAUAAAGGACCGCUUUGGCUUUAGGGGCAUUGGAACCACUUUUGCAGCCAUCACGCCUUGCAAUCACACACCACACUCGUUUUGCAGAGCUUCAGGAGUCACCUCUUACUGAAGGAAAUCUGUCAGAGAGCCGAGCUGCAGAUGAGAGAAACCAUGGUUUACCCACAAAACCAGGUCCAAUAUACGGCCAGGAUAGUGAGGCCACAUGAAAUGUAAAGCGGAAGGAAAGACAAGUUGUGUGAGGAACUCCUAACUGAAACGGAAGGUCGCUGAACUAGACACUCAUAGCAAGGCCUGAGAGGAAGCUCUGAGAACGAAAGCCGGAGAAUAUCCAAACCCCAGGAGUCAUUCUCCUGAGAAAGAUGAAGUGCAAGCUCCACUGGGAAGAGCAAUGGGCUAGAAGAUAGGAAACCUGGUGUCCAGUACCAAGGGCAUCUGCUUAGAAGUUGGCCUAGCCAUUAAAUGAAGCCGUACUGCGCACCUUGGACCGCGGGUCCCUCGGAUGCCCUUCCGGGGGCAGUUGAUGGCUCAAGGAGCAAACGCAAGGCAGCACGAUUAGUCCAUACGCGGCCUGCUGACUCCUUUCCGCCAUGAAAGCCCUGUUGAGAGCGGCGAGGCACCAACAGUGGGGCCCAGCUGGCCAGGCCCAUUCCGGAGCCUCUCCCACCGGCCAAGGAGUACCUUUAACACAAAGCCCAGGCGGCGGCAUUGCCCGGGGUACGUUCCCGGCUCCCUAGCCGGGCAGGCUCCCCCACCAACGGACCAAGCUCUGCUCCCUAGAGGCCACCUCAGCCUGGUUCCCGCCCUCGCGGAGCCUCUCACCUCUCAGGGGCUCUGCCGCCCCUGGGCGCUCGCAGGGGACGGCCCAGAGACCCCGGCGCAGAGAGACCGGGAAACUAGGCGCGAGAGGCCGAGCCCUCCCCUCGCCCUUCCGAGUGUCCUCACAGGCCGCCGGUGACUAUUGGCGUGAGGAACCGUCAGUUGGGGAGGACGGCCGGAACACGGUGCCUUCUGGGAGGCCGGGCGCCUCCGCAGCCGAUACGUCACAACCGGUGCCUCGUUUCCGGUUCGGAAGCCUGGUCUCCCAGCUCGGAGCCGUCAGGCUGGGCUUGAGAAAGCGAUGCUCGAGGACGACAGGCAGAGCUCUCAGCGCCAGAGGGAGAACGGGCUGGAGGCAACCGCUGUUUCUGUGGCUCUAUCUGGGAGACGGAAAGCAGAAAUUCAGCUUCAAUCCUCCAUGACGAGCUGGCUCGUCUCCAGGUACUGGCGGUGUAGCUCCAUGGACUGCUGGGAAAUGUAGUUCGGCUCCAAACAGCUAAUGGGAGGCCGCCGGGCGCGGCGGCUGGGGCGGGACAGCCCCACCCUUACCCCACCCCGCUUUCCCCGGGCUCGACCGGAAGUAGGCUGCCUCUCGGACCGGAAGAUCUGCGAGAGGCUGCGGCUGUUUCCGCCGCAGCGUCCAGGGUGUGUCGAAGGACCGCUGAAGCGCCAUUGUCGGGUGACAGAGUCAUGCUCCCUUUCCUGCUCGCGGAUGCCUUGCAGAUGCCCAGGAUCCACCCUGUCUUGUUUCCCACCUCCACUUCCCAGUAAUGGCGGCCAGAGAGGAAGCUUGGAAAGCCUAGGGCGAUGAUGCAACUAUCAAAUCUUUCUGGAUUAUCAGGUAGACGAUUACACUUGUUUCCAAGUCUCACGCUCUUCAGGUUAUUAGAGAAGAUGAGGUUGGGGUGGGCAGUUUCUGCAUCCAGAAUCACAUUAACUGCAGAGAGAAUUAGAAUACCUAGCUGGGGGCUCCAUGGGCAGUGUACCCACAGGGUUCUCCCCACCUCCAGGAAACAUGGAUAGGGACAUUCUUCUGGAAUGCACUAGAGGUCAGCACAGGGACCCAGCAGGUGAAGUCCACUUGCCUUAGUCUGGGCACUUACCGGCAUGUGCCUGAGCGCAAAUCAGUUCUGGAACUACAGAGAAAAAGCAGAUGUGGGGAAAAACCUGAGUAUUCCAAUUCAGAGAGGCUAAAUGUACCCUGGUCCCCACAACAAGGAAAGACAAGGACCCCUACCCGAGCUCAGGACCUUGCUUCCUUUGCUUGGAUUAACCCCAUUCCUCAUAGACCCUGGAGACUGCCUUGGUGACUCUUUGGUCUGAUGAGUUGACCCAGCCAACAAGUCCAGCACAGAGCCUGUGAAGGCUUUCUUCUGCCUUUGUUAUAGGUGUUUUUCUCUCUUCUAAAUAAUGCCCAGAAAUCAACAGCAUAGGGAAUAUCACAGUAACCCCUGGCAAGCAUUCUGCCAUCACCAUACUCACAAUUAAAGGUGUCCAUUUCUGAACGCAGGGUUUCUAAAAGAAGAAGGGGAGCUUGAGUUAGGUUCCCCAUCUAGGGACAGAUCAGGAAGAGGCUGAAGGCAGCAUCAGAAAGGCAGGGGAGUUGGAGAAGGGAUGCCAGAAGGGUUUGGGCUACAUGGACAUCAGGGAGGAAGUGAGCAGGUGACUCCCCUUUUCCCCCAAGCCCACCUACCUGAGAAGGACUUAAUGCUCUUCUCCACAAAUUCUGAUUUCUGGUAGAUCAAGUGGAUCUUUUUUUCCACCUCUGGAGGAGUGUUCCAUGGCUUAGGAACAGUCGCCAUCUUGACCCUAGAGACACAAGACUGCUGGCCAGAGAGGGCUGGUGCAUGGGGGUAGCCCAAGUUCCCAUGAGGUGGAAAUGAGGUGCAGGCUCCACAGGGGACACCCAGCCCACUUGGGCUUGGCAAAGAAAGUCCUCUCUGGACUCCGAGUUUUAAACACUGGUUCUCAACUUUGGCCACAGAUUGGCAUCACCUAGGGAGUUAUAAAAACCACUGAUAUCAAAACCACAGUGAGUUUUAAUAGUGGCCUUAAAAUGGUGCUAAUAUUGAAAUGCUCAGCCUAGAAUUAUCUAUGUCAAAUUAAUUAUACCUCUUUAGUCCUUUUCUGUUGAAAUAAAAAUGGUAAUAAGAAAAAAACCACAGUGAAAUAUGACUCAUAGGAUGGUUAUUAUUUUGAAAAAAUCAAAAUGACAGGUAUUGGCAAGGAUGUGGAAAAAUUGGGACCCUUGUGCAUUGGUGGUAGGAACGUAAAAUGGUACAGACACUGUGGGAAAUAGUAUAGUGGUUCCUCAAAAAACUAAACAUAGAAUUACCAUAUGACACAUCAAUUCCACUUCUAGGUAUAUGCCCAAAAUAAUUGAAAGCAGAAGGGCGCCUGAGUGGCUCAGUCGUUAAACGUCUGCCUUCGGCUCAGGUCAUGAUCCCAGGGUCCUGGGAUCGAGUCCCACAUCAGGCUCCCUUCUCGGCGGGAAGCCUGUUCUCCCUCUCCCACUCCCGCUGCUUGUGUUCCUGCUCUCGCUCUCUGUCUCUGUCAGAUAAAUAAAAUCUUUAAAAAAAAUAAGUGAAAGCAGAGACUCAAACAAAUAUAUGUACAGCAAUAUUCAUAGCAGCAUUAUUCACAAUAGCCAAAAGGUGGAAACAACACAAGUGUCCAUUGAUGGAUGAAAGGAAAAACAAAUUGUGGUAUAUACAUACAGUGGAAUAUUACUCAGCCUUACAAAGGGAUGAAACAUUCUAUAGUGUGGAUGAACCUUGAAGACAUUAUGCUAAGUGAAAUAAGCCAGACACAAAAGCACAAAUACUGUAUGAUUCCACUUAUAUGAAGCAGUUAGAGUAGUCAAAUUCAUAAAGACAGAACAUAGAAUGGUGGUUGCCAUUCCUUGCUUCCUGGGUGAGGGGGCAAUAGGGAGUUAUGUUUUAGUAGUAUGGAGUUUCCAUUUGGGAGGAUAAAAAAGUGCUGCAGAUAAUAGUGGUGUUGGUUGCACAAUAAUACGAAUGUACUUAAUGCCACGGAACUGCACAUUUAAAAAUGGUUAGAGUGGUAAAUUUCAUUUUAUAUGUAUUUUACCACCAAAAAAAGAGGGAAAAAAAGUUUAUGCUAGGGUCACACUCUUGAAGAUUUGGAUUUAAUUUGUGUGCCAGGGCCUGGAUGUCAGGAUUUUGUAAAGCUCGUGGGGUUAUUGUAAUGGCCAGCCUCCUCCCUUCCCUCCCCUUCCUUCCCCUGUCUGGGCUUAGCAUCUCCACUCCUAGAAAGUGCUUCUCUCCCUGAGACCAUAAGCACUUGUGGCCUCAGGGAGGGAGGCACUUCUGCAGAAACAGUUUUUAUGAGACAAAUUGCAAUCUUUAGGGAGGUUUCUUAGGAACCAUCAUUAGCACGAUAAGCUGUGUUCGUUCUUUCCAGUCUUCAGCCCAUGCUGUCUCUCCUGAUCACACUCCCAUUUUCCCUACACAAAUCCAGAAAGGCCUUAGGAAGCUGCAGGAGAUAGGAGGAAACCAGGAGGUGUCACAGACCCAGGGUUGGGAGCAUCUCCCUCCUAGGGAUGCCUCCCCCACUGCUUCCUGCAGGAUACCCAAGGGAACACGAGGGGACCUCUCGGUACCUGUACAGGGUGACUCCGAUGUCCUAGGAGAGAAAAGAGGGAAGCUCUCCAUUACCAGUCUCCUAGGGGCUGCACUGACUCCUGGUCUAUCCUCCUGGGCUCACAGCCCUGGGGUGUCAGCAAAACUGGGGCAUCUCUCCCCAUUCUAAUUUUCAUCACCCAAAGUGGCAGCCUGUUGGGGCUUGCAACAGAACUGCACCCAAACCCUGCUUUUCUCUUCUGGGAGAUGCCAGGGGAUCCCUUGAAAGCUGGGCCACCCUGGGCUCCUGACAGCUCAUCAAAAGGGUCUGGGCACAAGACCUUUGUCUUGUACUGACUUGGGCAGAGUUAAUGGCAGUGCUGGGGAGCCCAUGUCAUCCUACUGGGCACAGCGGGCAGGGGAAGCCAGACCCAGCCACACUCACCUGCAUGAGCUCCCAUUCCGGCUGGUACUGCUUGGCCUCCAGCUCCCCAAUCAGCUCGUCAAGAAGGGCAAUGUCUCUGGAUACUUGGGUGCUAUAUUUCUCCCUGACCUGGCCAAUGGUCUGGUUCAGAUCCUCUAUUGAGGCCACAAAGAGCUUCUCUUGCUGCUCCAGAAGAUGGUACAGCUUCUCCAACUGGUGCCGAUGUCUCUGCUUCUGGGUUUCAGUUUGUUUCUGGGGGAACAGAAAGGUGUAGGGUCUAUCCAGUGUGCUGGGUGUGUGUGCCCAGGGAAUCCCAAGAAGCCCACCUCCUGGAGGUGGCUAAGAGGCUGGAUCCCUCAGCUUCUCGGAGGACUAGAUUUCAGAGAAGGAAACAAAAUGGGCCAGAACCUUCCAGAACAGACUGAAGGUGGCAGGGAUUAGCUCUUGUAAAAUGCCCUAAAACCCAGUAUUCUGGGUUGAUUUGUAUCUCCUCCAAAAUUUAUGUUAAAGUCCUAACCUCUAGUACCUAAAGAAUAUGAUCUUACUUGGCAAUAGCAUCAUUGCAGAUGUAGUUAGUUAAGAUGAGAUCAUACUGGAGUGGGCCACUGGAGUGGGGAAGUUGAGACACAGACACAGGGAGAACACCAUGUGAAGAAAACACAGGGAAGAGAUGACAUCUACCAGCUGAGGGGAGAGGCCUGGAAGAUCUCCUUCACGGCCCUCAGAAGGAACCAGUCCUGCUGACACCUUGACUAUGGAAUUCUGGCCUACAGAACUGUGAAAGAAUUUCUUUUUUGCGGUUUAAGCCAUUCAGUCUGUGGUGCUCUGUAAUGGCAGCCACGGGACACUAAGAUAUCUGGUGUCAUCUUUUUCCUUCCUUGAAAGCCAGUGUGAGGAUGACAUAUGCCUGGGGUUGUAAAUGGACAAGGUUAUGACUACCAAAGUGUCCAGGAAGGAGGCUUCUCUCUACGUUCCACCAAAGUGCUGGCAUGCAGAAGGUCCUCAAUGUGGCUCUGAAUGAAGGCAGUCAGUCCAUUUAUGUGACUGUAAGUGAACUUGACUUCUACUACCAUUGCACAUAGGUCAGCCAUCUGGCCCAUGUUCUAUCCAGAGUUUCUGUGGAAACAUGAAGUGGCUGUAGGGAACCUUCUCCUUCCUCCAUGGAGGGAGAAGCCCCUUCGAAUCUUCUAAGACUGGACUUAGGAAGUCUCAUCAUUUUGAGCUCUUUAGUGAUUUUGAACCAGAAAUAUUUCCUCACCUUUUGUUGUUGAGGGUGCUAACAUUGGCUUUUUUUUUCCUUAAAGAGGACAGGUCAGUUGUCAUGUUCAAUGGCCUAUGUUCUAAAAUUGUCUGAUAAUUUUGAUCAUGAUUAAAUUCAGGUUAAGCAUCUUAGACAAGAAUACCAUAUUCUUAAUGCGCUGGGCUCCCUAGCACAGCCCAUGGGGAGGCAAAGAGUGUCCAGUUUGUCCAUCACCAUUAUUGUGAUACGGAGAUCAGUCACUUGGUUGAGGAGGGGUCUGCCACAUCUCUCCAGUGUCAAUAUAUAUUAUUUCCUUUAUAAUUACUAAGUAAUUGGAGGAGUGGUACUUAGAGGAUAUCAAUAUCCUGUUCUCUUAUGAUCUUCUGUGAAAAAUUUUAGCAUUUGUUGAUGAUCUCUGUUGGUGUUGAUUGUUAUACUGGUGUUUGUAUAGUGGGAAAUUUCCUUUUUGAGAUUUUUUAUUUAUUUAUUUAAGUAAUCUCUGCAACCAUCUUGGGGCUUAAACUCACAACCCUGAAAUCAAGAGUCGUAUACUCUCUGACUGAGCCAGCCAGGCACCCCAUAACCAUUCUUCCAUACUUGUUUUAGUUGACAUUGUGCUGUAAAAAAGAGUUUCCCCUCCCCCUUCCAUAUGAUUAAAAAAUUAUAUAUAUAUUUUGACUAUUGAAAGGAGGAUGAGCAGAAGUCUUGAAAACAACCACCUUUCCACGGGGACUCAUGUCACUGAGUGUCUUAAGGGAAGACCAGACCUUCUUGUCUCCCUAAGUUUCACUGUGGCCCAGGCUUCUGCCUCACUGUCAUGGUGGGGGCAUCCCUGACCUCUGCUUCACCCACAAGUUCCGAGCCACCUGGCAUUAUAGGAAAGGUGUUUUCUUUUUUAGAAAGAGAGAGAGAAAGCUGGUGAGUGCAGGGGAGGGGGAAGUGAUGAUGGGAAGGGCAGAGGGAGAGGGAGAGAAAGAAUCUUAAGCAGACUCCACACCCAGUGUGGAGCCCGACGUGGGGCUCAGAUCUCAUGACCCUGAGAUCAUGACCUGAGCUGAAAUCAAGUCAGACUCUUAACUGACUGAGCCAUCUUGGCGCCCUAGAAAGGGGUUUUCUUUUACUAGACUUCAUGAGUUUCCCAAAAGUUAGACACCUGGACCAAUGCCAUGCCUGCUCCCAUUCCUGCCCUUUGUUAUCUUUGCCUGUUUCCCAUUGUGGUGUGGGAGAUGGGAUCCAGCCAACAGAAAUGGGUCAGACAAAUUAAGGCUCUUUGGGGUAGCUGAAUUUGCUUGCACGGAAAAUGGAAGCAACUUAUGUGUCCAGGUUCAACAGAGGAAGGGCAACAAAUGUAUUUAUUGAAAUCUGUGGCAUCACAAAAUGACAGUUUUAAAGAAAAUGUCUAACCAUUUGAAUUUUAAAAUUCCAUAUUAAAAAAUAAUGGACAACAAUUUUAAAAAACCAUACAAAGGAGUAUUUAAAAUGGAAAGUCUCUCCUCCCAUUUCCUCAAUCCCAUCCCUCAGCGACAGCCACUGGUGUUAAUUUCUCUAAACCAUUUUGUAGUGAAUAUGAGAAAGCACAGGCUCCUCAGAGAUUUCCCUCCCUCCUGAGGGUGGGUCUCCCUCUCCAGGGACAAGCUCAUCCUUGGACUCCUGUUACCUCCCUGCCCCCUCAAGAGCAGGUGAUUCUAAAUAGGUGAUCAGUUCUGCUUCUCUGUGAACCAAAACAUAAUUUGGGGACCCCCUGCUCACUUUUGGUCCCCUCCCUCCUUUUGCAGGGGUAAACUCAGGCAAGGAUUGGCCACAGAACACCCCUGACCUUACCAGGAAUUUUGCAGUCUUCUUAUCCCCCUGAGAUCUCUGCUCCUCCCCAGAUUUUCUCAACUCCUUCAGAUGCUCCAGCUGCUUUUGAAUUUGCUCCUGGAAAAGGGGCACUUGUUGAAGCCUAAACUUGGCCUCUGCCAUCUUUAGUUGGUGCCAACUCUAGAGGGAAAAAAUCUGCUUUAGGGAGUAAAGCUGAGGGUCCUGCAGCCAAGAGCACAGGGAUGGUGCCCAGGAAAGGAAGAAUGAAUCCAUCACACCAAGGGAAGCAGAUCCAAGAGGUGGUGAGAGAGAGAUUCUUAAUGACAUGUGGGCACCUGGAUUCAGCAAUACCUGAAGCUAGUGCCCUUGGACCUCAGCUACAUGAACCAGUAAAUUCCCUCUUUGCUGGUCUGGUUUAUAUUGUGUUUUUGCCACUUUACAGACCAGGGAUGCUGACUAAUGCACCAACAUCCCAGGGUUGGGAAAUAAAGUAGCCCUGACUACUUUUUUUUUUUUUUUUUUAAGAUUUUUAUUUAUUUAUUUGACAGAGAGAGACACAGCGAGAGAGGGAACACAAGCAGGGGGAGUGGGAGAGGGAGAAGCAGGCUUCCCGCCGAGCAGGGAGCCCGAUACAGGGCUCGAUCCCAGGACCCUGGGAUCAUGACCUGAGCCGAAGGCAGACACUUAAUGACUGAGCCACCCAGGCGCCCCCAGCCCUGACUACUUUUUUUUUUUUAAGAUUUUUUUUUUUUUUUUUUUGAGACAGAGAGAAUGAGAGAGAGAGAGCACAUGAGAGGGGGGAGGGUCAGAGGCAGAAGCAGGCUCCCUGCCGAGCAGGGAGCCGGAUGCGGGACUCGAUCCAGGGACUCCAGGAUCAUGACCUGAGCCGAAGGCAGUCGCUUAACCAACUGAGCCACCCAGGCGCCCGCCCUCACUACUUUUAAAAGCCCCUCCCCACCCACCCCCAAGAAGCCCUACCUUGUAUUCCAGGGCAGCCUCUUCGAUGGGGCGCACCCAGUGGCCUUGAUGUUCCUGACUCAACCUGCAGAUGAGGCAGAUAGGCUCCUUGUGGUCCUCACAGAAGAGCAGCUGGACCUGCUUCAUGUGUCGCUCACACUGUGGCAAGGACUUGGGACUCAAGUUGGCUAUCUGCAGUCCUUCUUGCUGCUUGUAGUCUUCAGAGUUAUUUACUGUGAGUGAGGCCAGGCUUAGGAAGCUGCUGGGUGAGCAUUUGCCUGAGGUCUUAGGAUACCUAGAAGCAACGGAGUAUCUGCAGGAAUCAUCUCCUUCCUGGGCACGACAAAGGGGAUACACAGCCUCAUCCUGUGGCUUCCCUGGGGCCAUGGCAGUGGAAAAAUUUCCUGAGUGACAAACCCAAAAUGUUAUGAAGAGGUGCUACAAAGAAGAGAGAGAUAGAGAGCCCAUGCCUGGGACACAUAAGUUCCUGGUUAGACUGGCCACUUCUAACUUGUCCUCCCCUGACUUUGUUCCAGCAAGGCAGCAAACCACCCAGCAAAAGUGAGGGCAAAGGGCUAGAUCUCAUGACAGUCCUGAGACUUGGAAUUCCUGGAUAUUUAUCCUAAAGAAAAGGCUUUUGUUAUAAAUUCUAUGCCUUCCUCCCACACAUGUACAGAUCUAGCAGGUGAUAUAAAGGCAGUGAGACAUUCUGACCAGUGUUUGCUUUGCCACUUAAAACCAACCAGGCUGCUCUCUUGAGUCUUGUGGGAGCCCACAAGAAGAAACAGAGACCCACUCAAUUCAUUAGUCCCCUCCCACCACCUCUCACAAGGUCCCAGGAAUUCAUAUCACAUCUGUAAGUGAGACUGUGGGAGGCCCCCCCAGGAACCAUUCUCCCCUCCUUCCCUUAUGAUAGAAUUGAUUGCUGCCCAUCAAUUGAUGGCUGCUUCCCUCCCCCACCCCCCCCAAAAAAAACAUUUCUUGCAAUUGGGUGUGGCUAUUUGACUACAUUCUGGCCAAAGGGAUAUAAAUGAAGGCAUCAUGAACAGCUUCUAGAAACUUCUGGAAACUUUCCCUAAGCGAUACUCUUCUCCUUUGUCCUUCCAUCCUGCUGCUUGGAAUGAGGAUGCCACCCUCUGAGACCAUGAGCUUGAGAGCAAAUUUUGUGGAGCAGAAAAACAGCAGGAGCCUGGGUUCCUGGCCCAUAGAGUACCACAUCUGUUCUGGACCAUCUGUGUUAUUUAUGUGAAGGAGAAACAAACUUCUGUCUUGUUUCAGUUAGCGUUAUUUUGGUGUUUCUGUCAUCCACAACCCAACAUAAUCCCAAUUUCUGCCUCCUUAGUAGAAGAGAUUUAGGAUUUUAGCCAACAGCUCUCCUCCCUGCCCAGAGAGGUGAAUGGCAGAAUCUCAGUCCCAUGACAUACUGCCAUGGUGUCAUUGUGAGAAGCAGGUAUUUUUACCCAGUCUUUCCCAGAUGCUCAAGCUGGGGUCCAUGAAUUCCUUGGAAUUCUAUAGGAUUUCAGUGUCUAAGAACUUGAACUUUGAUGCAACAUUUUAUGAAGAUGUGCAUAUGUGCAUUUUUUUUCAGGAUUCACAGCCUACCUCAGAUCCCAGGGGGCACCCAGGGAUCUGGUGUUGUGAGGAAAUGCCUGCACAGGUCACCAUUCCUAAGGAUACCAGGUUUUCUGAGUUUUGGGGUCCUUUCUUACCUGAAGAAGGAGGGACUUCUGGACCUGAAGGCUGAUGGACCUCACUGCCUACCACCUCCCUCAAGGUCUCAGAAGGUUCUUGACCCUCAAUUCCAUUUUUCUUUGAAGGUCCUAUAGAUUCUGGAUGCUCCCAGGUCAUCUGGUCUCCAGACAGUGAUACAUUGGAAAGUGUAUUCCUGAAUACUCCCCCCUUCAGGAUCAUGGACUGUUCUGGAUUCUUGGAGCCUUUCUCUGGAGCCACAGUAGCGCCUACAUCCAGAGUGGCCACUUCACUGGCGGUGGCUGCUGAGUCUGGAUGAUCACUUCUUAUUUUCUCUUGAGGCAGAAGAGUUUCUGGAUUGGGAGGUUCUCUCUCUCCCAAAAAAAAGAAAAUCCUAACACACAGAUUUGGAGGCUUUUACAGCUGGGAGGGCUCAAGGUCAGCCACAUGGUCCUCCAGUGCCCCAGCCCUCACCUUCGCAUACUGCCCAGCAGAGCAGCGAGCGGUAGUAAGCUCUACAUCCAAUGUGAGGCUUGAACUCAGAACCCUGAGAACAAGGGUCACAUGCUCUACUGACUGAGCCAGCCAGGUGCCCCUGAACACAUAUUUUGGACACCCUGCCAGGAUGUGGAGAAACAAGGGUGAAAAAAGACAUAGGUGUCCUUUGGAGCUCAUGUCCCAAUGUGGGGCUCCAGAAGUCAUUCCAGAGCUAAUGGAAGUUGUAUGUGGGUGAGCGGACUUCUUCCAGUUAACUGCUUCUGUCUUUCUGCAUACUCUGAUUUUUAGCCCCAACUUUGUGUUUUGAAAAAUUUCAAACCUACAGAAAAGUUACCGAGAUUCACCAACUGUUUACAUUUUACAGUAUUUAGUGAUUCUCUUUCUUAUGUACACACAUGCAUGCACUUCAUUUUUCCUUUUUUCCCCUCUGAACCAUUUGGUAAUGAAUUGAAAACAUUAUCAGAUAUCACUCCAAAUACCCUACAUACCCUAAGUACAAUGAACAAGGAUAUAAGGAUAUUAUUUUAAAUAAUCAGAAUACAAUUAUCAUACUCAGGAAAAUUAACAUCAUUAUAAUACUAUAAUGAGUUCAUAAUCAAAUUUCUCCAAAGGACUGAUAAUGUCCUUGACAGCUUUUUUUUUCCAACCCAGGGUCCAAUCAGAGAUCCUGCACUGCAUUUAGUUGUUACAUCUCUAUACUCUGCUUCUACUAGAACACUUUCACACUUCCCCGCCUUUUUAAAUUCUGUCAAUGUUUUUGAAAAGUCUGUUCCAAGCAGAAUGUGCCUUAAUUUAGAUCUGUGCAUCAUUUCCUCAUUAUUAGACUGAAGGUAUAUUCAGGUGCUCAAGAUGUCUCCAUUGUAAGAGGAUGUUUUUUCUUGUAAUUAGUAAGUAACCUGAGAAUGUGGAAACGUCUUGUUCUCCUACAAUCUUUCACCCCAUGAUUUUAACAUUCAUUGAUGAUCUUUUCCUAAAUCAGUUGCUACAAUGGUACUUGCAAAAUGGUUAUAUUUCUAUCACUUAGCUGGCAUCAUUUGCAUGUCCUGGUUUAAGCUUUCUGCAUUUCUCAUGAAGUUUUUGGCUUACAGAUGUUGUUUUUUCUUGAGAUUUUAUUUAUUUCACAGAGAGAGAUAGCGAGAGCAGGAACACAAGCAGGGGGAGUGGGAGAGGGAGAAGCAGGCCCCCCGAUGAGCAGGGAGCCUGAUGCCAUGUGGGGCUUGAUUCCAGGACCCUGGGAUCAUGACCUGAGCCGAAAGCAGACACUCAACAACUGAGCCACCCAGGCUCCCCCAGAUGUUUUGUUGUUAACACAAUUGUGGUUACUCUGUGCCAGGCACAGCUUGCUUUAUAUCCGUUAUCUCCUAAAAUCUCUGCAGCAUGCCUUCAGGGCAGGAUUCAUCAUCCUCACUGCCAGGAUUAGUGGUUUAGUGACUUGCUCAGUGACUGAGCCAGGAUUCAAACUCCCUCUUUUAACCACUUUGCAGAAUGGUCUCUGUGCAUGAUGAUAAUUUAUUAUUUUACUGUUCCUCACUAACCCCAGAUGUCACUUUUUUCAGCUGUCCAGUGAGACUCAAAAUGGGCUAUUCUGACCACUCCCACAGGUCAUUUACAACAUUCUGAUGCCUGGCAGAACAAACAACACUGUGUGUGACCAGCCUGUGUGUGACCAGCUGGGACCGAGGCCUUCAUGAGUUCUGCUUGGUUGAAUGUUAUCUUACUAUCCACUUGGUCCACAUACUUCCUAUUUUACAGAUUACUCCGUGCUUUUGGUUUAAUAGCUGACAGCAUCCAGUUUUCUGGAUCCUGCUGAGAAAAUAACCCCAAACCCAACAUACUCCCUAAAAAAUGGAUGGACUCAAAUGCAUGCAUAUUUGUGGUGCAAAUGUUGGAUGUGUGAUAUUCUCAGGUUGGGCCGGAAGGGUGUUGACCGAGCGUCUCUGAGAUCACGACCUCUCCAAGAUUUCAGAAGGCAGUAACACAGCCACCUCACAGGGAGCCUCCCACUCCUGAGACAACUGAAAUUGUGCAAUAACACACACGGUCCUUCUUGUUCCUGGGGUCCCUAACCCUGUCUUGACUGGCCAGCAAACUCCUUUAAGCUCAAACUAACACACCCACAGCAGAAUUGGGCAGGAACUGGGGCUUUCCAGUCUAUAGCAGGAUAUUUUGCAAUUGCAGUGAUACCUUUUGCAACAGGGAGCAAUUCUGAGGCAUGGACUUGCCUUUUUUUUUUUUUAAGAGAGAGUAAGCAAGCAGGGGUGGUGGGGAAGGAGGGGCAGAGGAAGAGGAGAGAGAAUCUCAAGCAGACUCCCCACUGAGCUUGGAGCCCCACAUUGGACUCAAUCAUGACCUUGAGAUCAUGACCCUGAGAUCAUGACCCUGAGGCAUGACCUGAGGUGAAACCAAGAGUCAGUCGUUCAACCAACUGAGCCACCUAGUUGCUCCAAGGCAUGGACUUACUUGUGAGGUAGUGGCAUUUCUAUGUCAAAGAAGCUGAAAGAGGUUCCAGUAAUUUUUUUAAAAUGAAGAAUGUGGGGGCACCUGGGUGGCUCAGUUGGUUAAGCGACUGCAUUCAGCUCAGGUCAUGAUCCUGGAGUCCUGGGAUCGAGUCCCGGGAUCGAGUCCCACAUCAGGCUCACUGCUCAGCAGGGAGUCUGCUUCUCCCUCUGACCCUUCCCCCUCUCAUGCUCUCUCAAAUAAAUAAAUAAAAUCUUUUAAAAAUAAAUAAAUAAAAUGAAGAGAUGUGAAAAGACGAAUAUAACUCUCAGGGUGACUUUUGAAUGAACAGUGGUAGUGGAGUAUCAAUGAAAUCUUUCUUGUGCCUCUGUGACUGAAUGUGUGCCCUUAUUUGGGAACAACAUGACAAAUCUAAAUCCAUCACAGCUGCUGCAAGCAGAGCUACUUCAACCUCUGCUCUUAUCUUAAGUAAUGCACAGCCCAGACAUCCCAACCUUAAAUCCAUGCCUGGGUUUCAUCUUUCUAACUUACUCCAUCAGGGUUUCACUUUCUAACCAUUCAUUUUUGCAUCACUUUGAGCUUUUUUAAAUCAAUAUGUAUUAUUUUUAUAAAAGAAAAGAUAGUUUUAAAAAAGUAUUUUAUAAUUAGCUUAGCCUCCAAGGAGAUAUCAGUCCUGUCCCCACAACCAUCAUGAUGAAGUUUGUGGUAGUUAAAUAUAUAGUACAUACGGGUUAUUGAGAGAGCCAUAGGCAAGAUCAUGGAAGAGUUCCUGUGUUAAUCCGGAGUUGGAAGUAAUGGAUCCCAUUGUGACCCAAACUCUUCCUCACCUUCCAGUAUAUUGAAUUUUAAGGGAGAAAUCAGAGACUUUGAGAGGCUAACAUCUCAAUUUCAAAGUGAAUUUCCAGGCAAUGAACCUCCCACUGGGAAACAUACUUGUAACUGGGCUUUCUGAGAGCACACCAAGUUCUGGUGCAACCUCCAACCUCCUGAGCAGGAUGGAAACAGGGAGAGAAAGGCAGCUUCCUAGGUGGACUUGACUUGUGGAGGUUGUACAGUAGUGGGGUCGGAAUAGUUCCCGGAUUGGUCCACCAGUGAGAGUUUCAUUUUGCAAUAUGGUAACGCCAAGCAAGAAGCUUUAUGAGCUCUAAAGUGCUAUACACAUUAUUUAUUCUCAUUGGUAAAUCUAGACGGAGGAUAAGUGGGUGUUCAUUUUACUCUUUAAAUUUUUUUUUACAUAUUUAAACAUUUUAUAAUUUAAAACACUGAAAAAAUUUUGUUUUACUAAUAUUUCUAGGGACCCUUCUAGGAAGCUGGCUGUGGGCAUACAGUCCCUGACCGCCAAAGGCUUACAUGUUAGUGAAGGGGAAUAACCCAGUUGCCUGCUCUCCCUUCCCUUGCACCCUUUGAGGUUUGGUUUACAUAAUCCUGCCCCACUCGGAUCUCCCUGUCCUUUUACCCGCGGCACAGCUGCUCCGGGUGCUUCGGGCAAUGCCUACUCAGUAAGUUUCGAAUAUGCACAGAGUAGUGGGGAAAAAAACGGGACUCCAAGAUCUAGGACUUGUGGCCUGGGCCAGUUACCCGACGUCUCUGAGUUUCCUGUCAAAAGGGUGGUUUGGAAGUUUCAAUGAGAUAAUGUAUGCUAAAGAGCCUGGCACCGUGGGUCAGUGUCAGCUAGGUCCUUUGAUGCUCCAGCGCCUAGCGCAGCGCCGGGCUAGUCGUGGGCGGCGUCCGAGAGCCGGACACAGGAUCCCCGCCCCCGCAACGGCCGUCACCUCCGAGACCCCCGCCCACAGCGCGCGGUUCCCUGCCGCCGCGCUCGCUUCCGCGCGUGGGGGCAGGAAGACCCCACUCCGCGGGUCUCACGCCCGGCAGCAACUUCCUUGGGGCAGUCGCUCUGAGGGGAAGCGGCCUGGGCGGGAGGGGGUUUGUCCGCGGUAAGAGUAGCCCGAGGAUAAAACGGAAGUGUCAGCGAAGAGCCCCGAUAGGCAGGCUGGCAGGCACUGGAGUAGAGACAACCCGGCACACUGUGUCCGGGGCCCCGCGGGCUCUGCCCCAAGGGGGGAAAGCCCGAGGAGGCGCGACACGCCCUGCGGCCGGCCGCCGUGCAGCCGCGCUAAUGAGUCCGAGGGCCACGCCCUAAACUACAUCUUCCAGGGGGCCCCGGGAGUAAGCGGAGCCAAUCGGAGGGCGAGUGGGCGGGCUCAGCGGGGCCUGUGUCUCCCAGGGGGCGCUGGGGCGCGGCGCGGUGGUCGGGAUCGGCAGCCCCAGCAGCCUAUGGUUGUGUC
Long non-coding RNA from Mirounga angustirostris (Northern elephant seal), 17029 nucleotides. RefSeq lists it as uncharacterized. The transcript has 6 exons. The record is from RefSeq and is a predicted model, not a curated record. Lineage: Eukaryota; Metazoa; Chordata; Mammalia; Carnivora; Phocidae.